This 378-nucleotide unclassified non-coding RNA is filed under the name Methylobacterium brachiatum. RNAcentral describes it as "speF". The stretch from base 4 to 231 matches the Rfam family "Alphaproteobacterial sRNA ar45". Lineage: Bacteria; Pseudomonadati; Pseudomonadota; Alphaproteobacteria; Hyphomicrobiales; Methylobacteriaceae. The record is from RNAcentral.
CCUGCCCAAUUUCGCACGUGCCUGUGGCCGCGUGCCGGUUGGUGGGCAUCCGGUCAACUGCCGGACAGCCGCCAGGGGUCUUAAAGGAUCGAUGGUCGCAAGGGUGGAUCCCUACGGCCGGCAUCCAGGUGGCAACACCGGACCCCGACAACAACCGGCAGCCGGAGGCGAAACCGGCGAACCCCGCUCUCCACGGGGGACGCAGCUUAAAGCAACGACGAACGGGCUUUUUUGGUCUCGUCGGCCCUCCAAAGGCCGGCACCGAAGAGGCUUGUUUCUCUUUGCCCGGCGUGCGGUGGGGGUCAUCCCUUCCAAUCCACGGCAGCUUCCGGGUGCUCUGCGCCCGCCUGGAUCGACGCGUCUCCAAAGCGCGUGGGU